RNAcentral lists this long non-coding RNA (227 nucleotides) under Laticauda laticaudata (blue-ringed sea krait). RNAcentral describes it as "lncRNA (ENSLLTG00000005003.1)". The record is from RNAcentral. Lineage: Eukaryota; Metazoa; Chordata; Lepidosauria; Squamata; Elapidae.
GCUGCCCGUCUCAUUAAGCUGCUCCGACAAGGCUAUACCAUCCGCAUUCUGCUGUGGACCUUUGUCCAGUCUUUUAAGGCCCUUCCAUAUGUGUGUUUGCUGAUUGCAAUGCUGUUUUUUAUCUACGCCAUUAUAGGAAUGCAGGUUUUUGGCAAUAUUAGCAUUGAACAUGAUGAGGAUAUGCCUGAGGAUGACUUGCCUGCCAUCACUGAGCACAAUAAUUUUCG